UCGAGCAGGGUCGAAAGACGGACUUAGUGAUCCGGUGGUUCCGCAUGGAAGGGCCAUCGCUCAACGGAUAAAAGCUACCCCGGGGAUAACAGGCUUAUCUCCCCCAAGAGUUCACAUCGACGGGGAGGUUUGGCACCUCGAUGUCGGCUCAUCGCAUCCUGGGGCUGUAGUCGGUCCCAAGGGUUGGGCUGUUCGCCCAUUAAAGCGGUACGCGAGCUGGGUUCAGAACGUCGUGAGACAGUUCGGUCCCUAUCCGUCGUGGGCGUAGGAAAUUUGAGAGGAGCUGUCCUUAGUACGAGAGGACCGGGAUGGACAUACCUCUGGUGUACCAGUUGUCGUGCCAACGGCAUAGCUGGGUAGCUAUGUGUGGACGGGAUAAGUGCUGAAAGCAUCUAAGCAUGAAGCCCCCCUCAAGAUGAGAUUUCCCAACUUCGGUUAUAAGAUCCCUCAAAGAUGAUGAGGUUAAUAGGUUCGAGGUGGAAGCAUGGUGACAUGUGGAGCUGACGAAUACUAAUCGAUCGAAGACUUAAUCAA
Molecule: ribosomal RNA, 534 nt
Filed under: Staphylococcus aureus
Lineage: Bacteria; Bacillati; Bacillota; Bacilli; Caryophanales; Staphylococcaceae
Description: partial 23S ribosomal RNA
Rfam family: Bacterial large subunit ribosomal RNA
Source: RNAcentral